GCUGGGUAUGGUGGCGCAUGCCUGUCAUCCCAGCAGCUCAGGAGGCUGAGGCAAGAGAAUCUCGAGUUCAAAGCCAGCCUCCACAAAAGCGAGGCACUAAGCAGAUCAGUGAGACUCUGUCUCUA
RNAcentral lists this small RNA (125 nucleotides) under Marmota monax (woodchuck). Lineage: Eukaryota; Metazoa; Chordata; Mammalia; Rodentia; Sciuridae. The record is from RNAcentral.